UACCAGCACCCCGAGUGGUCGGGACGUUUAUCGGGCCUAAAGCAUCCGUAGCCGGUUCUACAAGUCUUCCGUUAAAUCCAACUGCUUAACAGGUGGGCUGCGGAAGAUACUAUAGAGCUAGGAGGCGGGAGAGGCAAGCGGUACUCGAUGGGUAGGGGUAAAAUCCGUUGAUCCAUUGAAGACCACCAGUGGCGAAGGCGGCUUGCCAGAACGCGCUCGACGGUGAGGGAUGAAAGCUGGGGGAGCAAACCGG
RNAcentral lists this ribosomal RNA (253 nucleotides) under uncultured bacterium. Its description in RNAcentral is "partial 16S ribosomal RNA". It matches the Rfam family "Archaeal small subunit ribosomal RNA", at positions 474 to 727 of the family's 1478-position model. The record is from RNAcentral.